Vidua macroura (Pin-tailed whydah) is the source of this 435-nucleotide long non-coding RNA. RefSeq lists it as uncharacterized. The transcript is spliced from 2 exons. NCBI's taxonomy places the organism in Eukaryota, Metazoa, Chordata, Aves, Passeriformes, Viduidae. The record is from RefSeq and is a predicted model, not a curated record.
UUGACCAUGAGACAAUGCUACAUUUAGAAUGCUCUCUGUAUCCCUACAAUCUUAUAAGCACCAGGAGGUUACAACUCAUGGCUGGAAAGGAUGGACGGUGAUAUUGCUGGGAGCAAGGCCUCAAAAGUCAUCUGACUCGAUGCUUCUGAACUGGGACUCGGAGACGUGGCCGAGGCCGCCGGGAAAAGAACAAACUGUAUCGGCGUCGUGCCGAGAAGCGCGAGCGUUCGAGAACCUAGAGAUCGUGGCCGAUGCUUGCGGAAUUUCCAGUCCACUACCCGACGAUCAUCCCAUCUCCAGGCCGUGGCCCGUGACUUAUCUUUCGGAUGACUGGCGACGUGAAUCCACGUUGGACCUGAAAUGAGUCGGCCUCGGAAGGCCCCGUGAUCGCCGGUUAUCCUCUUAGUGAGCUACAAUAAAGAACACCAAAAUCAA